GUGUACUUCAUCAAGUUCAGGCCAGCAUCAGUUUGAGUGGUUAGAUAAAAGCUUGAGGAAUGUGGCAUCUUCGGGUGUGUUAUAGCCUCUUGUUGUAUACAUUGGUUGGGACUGAGGAACUCAGCACGCCGCAAGGCCGGGUUUUUAACCACGUUCGUGCUUAGGAUGCUGGCAUAAUGGCUUUAAUCGA
This 190-nucleotide ribosomal RNA is filed under the name Omphalotaceae sp. RNAcentral describes it as "partial large subunit ribosomal RNA". The record is from RNAcentral. Lineage: Eukaryota; Fungi; Basidiomycota; Agaricomycetes; Agaricales; Omphalotaceae.